UCCCUGGUGGCUCAGAUGGUAAAGAAUCUGCCUCCAAUGCAGGAGACCUGGGUUCGAUCCCUGGGUUGGGAA
Molecule: transfer RNA, 72 nt
Filed under: Bos taurus (domestic cattle)
Lineage: Eukaryota; Metazoa; Chordata; Mammalia; Artiodactyla; Bovidae
Also listed under: 4 other names
Rfam family: tRNA
About the family: Transfer RNA (tRNA) molecules are approximately 80 nucleotides in length. Their secondary structure includes four short double-helical elements and three loops (D, anti-codon, and T loops). Further hydrogen bonds mediate the characteristic L-shaped molecular structure. tRNAs have two regions of fundamental functional importance: the anti-codon, which is responsible for specific mRNA codon recognition, and the 3' end, to which the tRNAs corresponding amino acid is attached (by aminoacyl-tRNA synthetases). tRNAs cope with the degeneracy of the genetic code in two manners: having more than one tRNA (with a specific anti-codon) for a particular amino acid; and 'wobble' base-pairing, i.e. permitting non-standard base-pairing at the 3rd anti-codon position.
Source: Rfam by way of RNAcentral